GACGAACGCUGGCGGCGUGCCUAACACAUGCAAGUCGAACGGAACUUCUUUAAAAGAUUUCUUCGGAAUGAAUUUGAUUAAGUUUAGUGGCGGACGGGUGAGUAACGCGUGAGUAACCUGCCCAUCACUUGGGGAUAACCUUGCGAAAGUAAGACUAAUACCCAAUGACGUCUCUAGAAGACAUCUGAAGGAGAUUAAAGAUUUAUCGGUGAUGGAUGGGGAUGCGUCUGAUUAGCUUGUUGGCGGGGUAACGGCCCACCAAGGCGACGAUCAGUAGGGGUUCUGAGAGGAAGGUCCCCCCACAUUGGAACUGAGACACGGUCCAAACUCCUACGGGAGGCAGCAGUGAGGAAUAUUGGUCAAUGGACGAGAGUCUGAACCAGCCAAGUAGCGUGCAGGAUGACGGCCCUAUGGGUUGUAAACUGCUUUUAUAAGGGAAUAAAGUGAGUCUCGUGAGACUUUUUGCAUGUACCUUAUGAAUAAGGACCGGCUAAUUCCGUG
This 501-nucleotide ribosomal RNA is filed under the name uncultured bacterium. RNAcentral describes it as "bacterial SSU rRNA". It matches the Rfam family "Bacterial small subunit ribosomal RNA", at positions 28 to 507 of the family's 1533-position model. The record is from RNAcentral.